RNAcentral lists this ribosomal RNA (492 nucleotides) under uncultured bacterium. RNAcentral's name for it is "partial 16S ribosomal RNA". It matches the Rfam family "Bacterial small subunit ribosomal RNA", at positions 29 to 507 of the family's 1533-position model. The record is from RNAcentral.
AGUGAACGCUGGCGGUAGGCCUAACACAUGCAAGUCGAACGGCAGCACAGUAAGAGCUUGCUCUUACGGGUGGCGAGUGGCGGACGGGUGAGGAAUACAUCGGAAUCUACUUUUUCGUGGGGGAUAACGUAGGGAAACUUACGCUAAUACCGCAUACGACCUACGGGUGAAAGCAGGGGAUCUUCGGACCUUGCGCGAUUGAAUGAGCCGAUGUCGGAUUAGCUAGUUGGCGGGGUAAAGGCCCACCAAGGCGACGAUCCGUAGCUGGUCUGAGAGGAUGAUAAGCCACACUGGAACUGAGACACGGUCAAGACUCCUACGGGAGGCAGCAGUGGGGAAUAUUGGACAAUGGGCGCAAGCCUGAUCCAGCCAUACCGCGUGGGUGAAGAAGGCCUUCGGGUUGUAAAGACCUUUUGUUGGGAAAGAAAAGCAGCAGGUUAAUACCCCGCUGUUCUGACGGUACCCAAAGAAUAAGCACCGGCUAACUUCGUG